AGUGGAUCAGACAGUCGCGGCGGCAAGGCGAAAGCCUGCCGAUGAGGAAAGUCCGGGCUCCACAGGGCAAGGAUAACGGGUAACGCCCGCCGAAGGCGACUUCAGGAAAAGUGCAACAGAGAUAUACCGCCUCUUUCGAGGUAAGGGUGGAAAGGUGAGGUAAGAGCUCACCCAUCGGCUGGGAACAGUCCGAUGCUGUAAACUCUAUCCGGAGCAACACCGGUAUGGGGACGAUGGCUGGCCCGGCCGUCCCCGGGGUGGCUUGAGCGUGCCGGCAACGGUACGCCUAGAUAGAUGACUGUCAAGACAGAACCCGGCUUACAGAUCGGCUCG
RNAcentral lists this RNase P RNA (333 nucleotides) under human gut metagenome. RNAcentral describes it as "Bacterial RNase P class A". It matches the Rfam family "Bacterial RNase P class A". From Rfam's summary of the family: Ribonuclease P (RNase P) is a ubiquitous endoribonuclease, found in archaea, bacteria and eukarya as well as chloroplasts and mitochondria. Its best characterised activity is the generation of mature 5'-ends of tRNAs by cleaving the 5'-leader elements of precursor-tRNAs. Cellular RNase Ps are ribonucleoproteins. The record is from RNAcentral.